Long non-coding RNA from Amphiprion ocellaris (clown anemonefish), 786 nucleotides. The record is from Ensembl. Lineage: Eukaryota; Metazoa; Chordata; Actinopteri; Pomacentridae.
AGACUCGUCUCUGGCUGCUCUCGAUAAGCCUCCGCGCCAAACCGGACAGCACGACUGAAGCGAGUAUCCAAAAGCGUCCGAAAAGUACGAGCAGUGCAGCGGCGCAGCUCCGCCCCGAGGUGGCCUGGAUCUGGAGUGAUCAAGUGCGAGGAGCAGCCAACUCUUCUAGGACACCCCCACCUCCGACACCUCCGUCAGCGGCGGCACGCCUUGCAGCAUCAGAGACGGUGCUGAUGGAGGAAGAGGAGAGAGGGCGAGAGGUUUCCCAGAGACUAUGGGUUGAGGAGGAAGUGGAAGUUUGUCGGCUUAGACCUGGUGUCAUUCCAUCAGUGUUAAACUUCCCGGCUCAUCUUGGAAGAGUACGUGCCAGAAAGACCACGACCAAGCAGCCUUGAGAUCUUAGACAGCGUCUCCCUCAGGUCCCUCUCUAUCUCCCCACACAUCCACCAACCACUGGAACACAUCUCCAAAGUUCUGCCGGGCCAGCUCAGCUUCCCCUCAGAAGAAGUGCCGCCACCUGCCAGAUGAAGGAGCCUUUUGAGAGGCAGCUGGCAUCGUGAUUGGACUGUACUUUGGUCUGUUCCAAUCCAGCUUCAGCUCCAGAGACGGCAGGCGGGACGAGUCAACGGAGGCCAGGUGGACGAAGGCAUGCAGUUGAGUACAAUCCAGAAAACAACAGAGGAGGAGUGCAGCGGCCCAGGGCCAGAACAGAACCAAAGAACUACAGACUCUUCACAACCUGCUCAAACUCUUGGUACAGGACCUCACCACACGGGUCAAGAAGGU